CGGACGGGUGAGUAACACGUGGAUAACCUACCUAUAAGACUGGAUAACUUCGGGAAACCGGAGCUAAUACCGGAUAAUAUAUUGAACCGCAUGGUUCAAUAGUGAAAGACGGUUUUGCUGUCACUUAUAGAUGGAUCCGCGCGCAUUAGCUAGUUGGUAAGGUAACGGCUUACCAAGGCAACGAUGCGUAGCCGACCUGAGAGGGUGAUCGGCCACACUGGAACUGAGACACGGUCCAGACUCCUACGGGAGGCAGCAGCU
RNAcentral lists this ribosomal RNA (261 nucleotides) under uncultured Staphylococcus sp. Its description in RNAcentral is "partial 16S ribosomal RNA". It matches the Rfam family "Bacterial small subunit ribosomal RNA", at positions 99 to 355 of the family's 1533-position model. Lineage: Bacteria; Bacillati; Bacillota; Bacilli; Caryophanales; Staphylococcaceae. The record is from RNAcentral.